UACAGAGGGGGCAAGCGUUGUUCGGAAUUACUGGGCGUAAAGGGCGCGUAGGCGGUUUGACAAGUCUGAUGUGAAAUCUAUGGGCUCAACCCAUAGCCUGCAUUAGAAACUGUCGGGCUUGAGUAUGGGAGAGGUGAGUGGAAUUUCCGGUGUAGCGGUGAAAUGCGUAGAUAUCGGAAAGAACACCUGUGGCGAAAGCGGCUCACUGGACCAUAACUGACGCUGAGG
Molecule: ribosomal RNA, 228 nt
Filed under: uncultured prokaryote
Description: partial 16S ribosomal RNA
Rfam family: Bacterial small subunit ribosomal RNA
Source: RNAcentral